GGGGAAUUUUCCGCAAUGGGCGAAAGCCUGACGGAGCAAUACCGCGUGAGGGAUGAAGGCCUAUGGGUUGUAAACCUCUUUUUUCAGGGAGGAAUCAAUGACGUGUACCUGAAGAAUAAGCAUCGGCUAACUCCGUGCCAGCAGCCGCGGUAAGACGGAGGAUGCAAGUGUUAUCCGGAAUCACUGGGCGUAAAGCGUCUGUAGGUGGUCAAAUAAGUCAACUGUUAAAUCUUGAGGCUCAACUUCAAAAUCGCAGUCGAAACUAUUAGACUAGAGUAUAGUAGGGGUAAAGGGAAUUUCCAGUGGAGCGGUGAAAUGCGUAGAGAUUGGAAAGAACACCGAUGGCGAAGGCACUUUACUGGGCUAUUACUAACACUCAGAGACGAAAGCUAGGGUAGCAAAUGGGAUUAGAUACCCCAGUAGUC
Molecule: ribosomal RNA, 425 nt
Filed under: uncultured cyanobacterium
Lineage: Bacteria; Bacillati; Cyanobacteriota
Description: bacterial SSU rRNA
Rfam family: Bacterial small subunit ribosomal RNA
Source: RNAcentral